Molecule: long non-coding RNA, 328 nt
Filed under: Elaeis guineensis (African oil palm)
Lineage: Eukaryota; Viridiplantae; Streptophyta; Magnoliopsida; Arecales; Arecaceae
Description: long non-coding RNA (EGUI_LNC014291)
Source: RNAcentral
UAUUGUAGAGUGUCGUGCUCUCUUCGAUGUUGACUAUUUUCGGCUGGAUACAAUGAUUCAGUUGUAUCAGGAGAGAAGCAACCAGUCUAUUGGCAUGAGAUAUUGCGGGGUGGAGAUGGGAUUAGCCUAAGAUCUGUCAGGUGAGAUUUUUGGACUUAAAGAUCAAGUCUGCUAUAAUUUGCAUGAGAAGCAUUGGACAAAAGUUAUCCACCCAUUGGUUGACAUAUUCAUCAAGAUCUAUUAGGUGAGGUGGUAUGCCAAUCUAUGGGACUGCAGUAUCCACUAGGAACCUUAAUUCGUGAAGAAAUUUUUUCUUUCCAACCCGAGG